AACUAAUUAGUAUAACGAAUACAUUUGUUUUGAAAACAAAAAAAGAGUACAUCAUUAGUUU
RNAcentral lists this transfer RNA (61 nucleotides) under Platorchestia japonica. RNAcentral's name for it is "tRNA-Ser". The record is from RNAcentral. Lineage: Eukaryota; Metazoa; Arthropoda; Malacostraca; Amphipoda; Talitridae.